This is a long non-coding RNA of Herpailurus yagouaroundi (jaguarundi), 829 nucleotides long. RefSeq lists it as uncharacterized. NCBI's taxonomy places the organism in Eukaryota, Metazoa, Chordata, Mammalia, Carnivora, Felidae. The record is from RefSeq and is a predicted model, not a curated record. The transcript has 3 exons.
AGAGUGGAGACCCCUGCUGGCUUGAGCCACCGCUGUGCCCUGGUGUCUGGAACCAGCCCGGCAUGCAAGGGCCUCAGUGAAUGUGCCCCGGAAACCACAAGUAAGGCGCCUGUCACAAUUGUCCCUCCUCCUGGGGUUUCUUCACGUGGCCCUGCACGGUGUGGUGUGCUCCUUCCUCCUGGGAACCGACUACAUCACUCCACACUCCUCCGACCGGGACAUGCGCGGCUCCAAUUCUGUUUGGCGAGGAUGCAAACAGAGUAUCUGUGAUACACCUUUCUGCGGCAUCGACUUCAUUACAAGAUCUGGAAUAACGGCCUCCCUCCUCCCCAUACAAAAAACACAAGAGCAGAGGAGGAGAGAGAUGCCUCAGGAAAAGCAGCCCAGUCUCUAAAGCUUCACCCAGCUGGGGACAGAAGGACAGACCCGCAGCUCGGGUGGCCUCUCCUCUUGUAGGCCGCGGACACGAGAUACCCUCUUGAUGGGAAUCCACUGCAGAGAACUGUGAGGGGUGUGCACACUCCCGUUGUCCACGGGACCGUAUCUGCUUGCCCGGGCCACCGUGUCCACACGGUGCACCCACGUUGCAUCACACACACCCGCGUGGGUUUGGGUCCGACUCCUGGCCAGUGUCCUGCACCUGUCCCGGGGCUUCCUGGAGCUCAGCAUCUUUCGCUGCACUUAAAAUGCAGGGACGGGGAACCUGGGUGGGCCUCCGUCCCUCGGCAUCCCACAAGUGCUUUUGCUCAGGUCGUGAUCUCACGGUUUUGUGAGUUGGAGCCCCACAUCGGGCUCUGAGCUGAUAGCACAGAGGCUGCUUGGGUUCUCU